AGGGUUAAAAAUUCACCUGCUCUCUGGGGUUCAUCCUUUCCCCUCCCACACAUUUAUUAUUGUCAAUUGAUCCCAAUGCACUGGAUGUAUUUCUGGCUCAAACCUGCUGUGACUGUUGCUCACAGUGAAUCAUAAGAGAUAUUAAAUGUAUUAGCCAGCCCUUGUGGUACACUCUGUUCCAGGAAAGCAUGGUAGCAAUGCUCAUCAUCCCAUCCUCGAUGGAAGCACCGAGGGAAAUAUCUCCCAGCAUGAGACCUGCCCUGGAAAUACUCACAUAAAGCCAGGUCCUCAAGAAAAUGGAAAGAAGAUUGGACCUUUCAGUGCCUCACACCUGAGCCAGACCCCAUUUGCUAGUUUUUCUGCAGCAAGAGCAUCCCAAGCAUUUGGAACCCAUCUGCAGCAACUGAAUAUCCAACAUUGCCCAAAAGGAUGUGAUGGAGGGAUCAGAGAUUUAAACUUCCUAUCCCCUGUGGCUCCUUACAAGAAUCAUUAAAAGCAGCCUUUUCAAACUUA
Poecile atricapillus (Black-capped chickadee) is the source of this 513-nucleotide long non-coding RNA. RefSeq lists it as uncharacterized. The transcript has 3 exons. Lineage: Eukaryota; Metazoa; Chordata; Aves; Passeriformes; Paridae. The record is from RefSeq and is a predicted model, not a curated record.